This 497-nucleotide ribosomal RNA is filed under the name uncultured bacterium. Its description in RNAcentral is "partial 16S ribosomal RNA". It matches the Rfam family "Bacterial small subunit ribosomal RNA", at positions 28 to 507 of the family's 1533-position model. The record is from RNAcentral.
GAUGAACGCUGGCGGCGUGCCUAAUACAUGCAAGUCGAGCGAACAGACGAGGAGCUUGCUCCUCUGACGUUAGCGGCGGACGGGUGAGUAACACGUGGAUAACCUACCUAUAAGACUGGGAUAACUUCGGGAAACCGGAGCUAAUACCGGAUAAUAUAUUGAACCGCAUGGUUCAAUAGUGAAAGACGGUUUUGCUGUCACUUAUAGAUGGAUCCGCGCCGCAUUAGCUAGUUGGUAAGGUAACGGCUUACCAAGGCAACGAUGCGUAGCCGACCUGAGAGGGUGAUCGGCCACACUGGAACUGAGACACGGUCCAGAGUCCUACGGGAGGCAGCAGUAGGGAAUCUUCCGCAAUGGGCGAAAGCCUGACGGAGCAACGCCGCGUGAGUGAUGAAGGUCUUCGGAUCGUAAAACUCUGUUAUUAGGGAAGAACAAAUGUGUAAGUAACUAUGCACGUCUUGACGGUACCUAAUCAGAAAGCCCCGGCUAACUACGUG